AUAUAAGGCACUAUGACGACCUCAAGUCAAAUGAUCAAUCCCACUAUCGAACGUUAGAGAUUAGCCACUGACACUCAGAUAGUUAUCCAUGUGGAAUCUCUUAGCGGGUCUCCAAUGUUUUGUUCUACAACAAAACAUCCACAUGUUCAUUUAAGUGUCACCACACUUUAGCUCGUGAGAUCAGCUAUUUACUUCAUAAGUAAGAAAUGCCAC
RNAcentral lists this long non-coding RNA (213 nucleotides) under Olea europaea (common olive). RNAcentral's name for it is "long non-coding RNA (OEUR_LNC010707)". The record is from RNAcentral. Lineage: Eukaryota; Viridiplantae; Streptophyta; Magnoliopsida; Lamiales; Oleaceae.